RNAcentral lists this ribosomal RNA (207 nucleotides) under uncultured bacterium. Its description in RNAcentral is "partial 16S ribosomal RNA". It matches the Rfam family "Bacterial small subunit ribosomal RNA", at positions 568 to 774 of the family's 1533-position model. The record is from RNAcentral.
CGCGCAGGCGGGCUGAUCAGUCUGGGGUGAAAGUUCACGGCUUAACCGUGAAAUUGCCUUGGAUACUGUCAGCCUUGAGUUCGGAAGAGGAAAGUGGAAUUCCUGGUGUAGCGGUGAAAUGCGUAGAUAUCAGGAAGAACACCGGUGGCGAAGGCGGCUUUCUGGUCCGAAACUGACGCUGAGGCGCGAAAGUGUGGGUAGCGAACA